RNAcentral lists this long non-coding RNA (290 nucleotides) under Setaria viridis. RNAcentral describes it as "long non-coding RNA (SVIR_LNC002625)". Lineage: Eukaryota; Viridiplantae; Streptophyta; Magnoliopsida; Poales; Poaceae. The record is from RNAcentral.
GGGAAUUGGUGUUGCCAUGGGGGUAUCUUUCUUCCUCGCCGGCUGACUUCGUGAAGGCAACGCUUUCAUGUUGCAGCUCAAUAAAUUUGAUGUUGUAGUAGCUUUGUUAUGAUGUUUCAACUGGAUCGAUGGAGAUGGUGAUGCCAUCCAUACUUGCAUCCAUAUAUAUUUCAACGAGUAAAUCGAUUUGUUGCGGUAAUAUUUUCUUGAUGUUGCAUUAGCUUUUUAUUGGAUGUUGCAAAAUGAAUUGUUGCGAUAGAUUUAUUCGAAUGUUUCAGAAUUGGAUCCGG